AGACCAGUCUGGCCAAUAUUGUGAAACCCUGUCACUACUAAAAAUACAAAAAUUAACUGGGCAUGGUGUUGAAUACCUGUAGUCUCAGCUACACAGGAGGCUGAGGUGGGAGAAUCACAGAACUCAGGAGGCAGAGGUUUCAGUGAGCUAAGAUCAGGACAGUGCAUUCCAGCCUGAGCAACAGGGUGACUCCAUCUCAAAAACAAAACAAGAAUGUAUGCUGACAAAUGAAAAAAAAAUCUGAAAGGUAACAAAAUUGUAUUACUAGGCUGUUAACAUGAUAUUUUGUUUCUCAUUAAACAGGUCUCUACUAACUGAUGAAAUCAUUAGAAAAGACAGUUCCUUGCUUGCCCUGCAUCUACUGAGCCCUGCCACAGCCUUCCGUGAGCCUCAGGCAGGGCACAUUGCAGAGUGGCCAACAUACCAGAGAUACUCAACAACCUUGUUUUGGAUGAGCAACCAAAUGAGCCUAUUCAUUAACUCGAGAGUUGCUCACCGAGGAUUUCUUGGGCCUCUCUGAUGUGCCAGACCCUGUGGGCACAUAGAAAUAAAUGAGACUGCAUUCCUGCCUCAAAUUCAGAGAAUAUGUCCCUGACCUCUCCCCAGGAGAGGCUCUCAGGCAAUCUCAUGAGCAAAACAUGGUACAGGGUGAUGCCUCCUAGAGGAGGAAGGAAGUUUCUUUUGUGUUCCCACAAAUAGAAAUUAAACAAAACCUCCCCUAGCCACAUGCCCUUACACCAAAUUUCAUUACCAGAUACGAACCCCCUGGUUCAUGCAGAACUGUAAUGUUUUGGGGUGAUGAGAAGGUGUCACUCCUUGGGCCUCAGGCAGAGAUAAACAGUUUGCCAAGCUCUCGUACUACCCCAGGGAGAAGGAAUACAUUAUCAACCUCAGUUAUUCACACCUCAUCAUGGAUAACUUUAUUAAUCUGAUCUGAAAUAAAGCAAUGUUGAGCAGAAGGGGAGGAGCUGGAGAGUUUCAGCUCUUGAGACCAGGUGUCUCAUAGAGAAGGAGAGAGAAAGAGGAACUGGAAGGACACUCUCCACUUCUGCCUCAGCAUGCCCGGAGACCACAGGGCUUGGGAUCGGCCAACUGAGUCUGAUUUGCUUGGCCCUGUCUGCUUGGGUAGCUGUGGCCGAGGUACCUAAGCUUUCAGAAUCAGUUUACUUAUCUAUAAGAGGGGAGGAAAUAUCUUUGGCCAAGCUUGUUGCAAGGAUGAAAACAAAAUUUGGAGGCUGACUGUCCAUAUGGGCUUUCCAUACAUGGCGCCCACAGUUAUGAGGCAGCUGGGGGAACACUCAAAUGGUCAUGAGGAGGAGCGUG
RNAcentral lists this long non-coding RNA (1323 nucleotides) under Aotus nancymaae (Ma's night monkey). Its description in RNAcentral is "lncRNA (ENSANAG00000039038.1)". Lineage: Eukaryota; Metazoa; Chordata; Mammalia; Primates; Aotidae. The record is from RNAcentral.